This is an RNA transcript of Rosa rugosa (rugosa rose), 939 nucleotides long. RefSeq lists it as uncharacterized. The transcript has 2 exons. The record is from RefSeq and is a predicted model, not a curated record. Lineage: Eukaryota; Viridiplantae; Streptophyta; Magnoliopsida; Rosales; Rosaceae.
CUCGGCUUCUCUGCUAGAGUUCACUUUGCUAUAAUCUGCUUGGAUAACACUCUCAGCUCGCCACGUCAGCUCACUUCAAUCCAAGGGUCAUUAAACUGACAACACAGAAAGCUCAUAGCCUUCACUAACUAUCUGAAAUAGUACAAGAUCUCAAUCCCUCAACUCAUCUCAUCUCCCUCUCUCUCUUCCCCUCACUCAUCUUAUUCGUUGUCUCGCCCUAACCUCUCGGCGCCUCCGAUGACGUAUCCGGCUGCUCCGGUGAUCCGUCCCCCGCCGCAGAUGUAUCCCGGCCAGGGACCACCGCCGAUGGUGCGUGGCCCGCCGCCGCAGUUUCCUCCUCCCGGUGCCAGGCCCGGCGGCCCACCUCAGCAGUUUCCCAAUCCUCCGAUGCAGUAUGGGCAGAGAACAAUGGGGCCUCCACCGCCCGGGCCUCCGGGGCAGAUGAUGAGGGGUCCACCACCUCGCCAAGGAAUGCCGCCUCCUCCCGGUGUGUUUGGAGGACCUCCACGGGGAAUGCCGUCGCCGCCUCAGAACCCCAACCAGCAGCAACAACAGUAAAUUCGGUGCCCAAACCUUGAGGUUCUUUCGAUCAAGUGCUGCCCGAAUGUGACUGAUGCAUCCAUCGCUGACAUAGAGUUUCGGUGCACCAUGAUUAAGGAACUUGACAUCAGCUAUUGCUAGAUCAUUCUGAACACGCUGGGAUUGUUCCUGAGGAGUAUUUAAAAACUUGCCCUCACGAUGGAAAUUCAGAAGUUGAUGCAAUUGGCAAAUCAGAGCACAACAUGUUGGUUAGGAUAUGGAAGUGGAGCUGAUGAUGUUAACUAAUAGUAGCUUUUUUAUUGUUGAAGGCUGUUGGUUUUGGUGAAGGUGUAAACUUAUACUUUUGGCCAUGACUCCAAUUUGGAGUGAAUUGUUAAGUUUCUAUGUAUGAAAAGAUUG